Molecule: ribosomal RNA, 303 nt
Filed under: uncultured bacterium
Lineage: Bacteria
Description: partial 16S ribosomal RNA
Rfam family: Bacterial small subunit ribosomal RNA
Source: RNAcentral
AGCAGCAGCCGCGGUAAUACGAAGGGUGCAAGCGUUACUCGGAAUUACUGGGCGUAAAGCGUGCGUAGGUGGCGGUUUAAGUCCGUUGUGAAAGCCCUGGGCUCAACCUGGGAAUUGCAGUGGAUACUGGGUCACUAGAGUGUGGUAGAGGAUAGUGGAAUUUCCGGUGUAGCAGUGAAAUGCGUAGAGAUCGGAAGGAACAUCUGUGGCGAAGGCGACUAUCUGGGCCAACACUGACACUGAGGCACGAAAGCGUGGGGAGCAAACAGGAUUAGAUACCCCCGUAGUCCCUGUCUCUUAUAC